RNAcentral lists this transfer RNA (83 nucleotides) under Candidatus Peribacteria bacterium. RNAcentral's name for it is "tRNA-Cys". The record is from RNAcentral. Lineage: Bacteria; Candidatus Peregrinibacteriota; Candidatus Peribacteria.
GAAGCCAUAUCGGCCUGAGGCCGAUGGUUAGAGCGCCCCGCGCAGCGGGGAGGUCGCGGGUUCGAAUCCCGUUGGCUCCGCCA